UUAUACGGCGAAACUGCGAAUGGCUCAUUAAAUCAGUUAUCGUUCAUUUGAUAGUACCUUACUACUUGGAUAACCGUGGUAAUUCUAGAGCUAAUACAUGCUAAAAGUCCCGACUUCGGAAGGGACGUAUUUAUUAGAUUAAAAACCAAUGCCCUUCGGGGCUCACUGGUGAUUCAUGAUAACUUCUCGAAUCGCAUGGCCUUGCGCCGGCGAUGGUUCAUUCAAAUUUCUGCCCUAUCAACUUUCGAUGGCUGGGUCUUGGCCAGCCAUGGUGACAACGGGUAACGGAGGGUUAGGGCUCGACCCCGGAGAGGACGCCUGAGAAACGGCGUCCACAUCCAAGGAAGGCAGCAGGCGCGCAAAUUACCCAAUCCCGACACGGGGAGGUAGUGACAAUAAAUACUGAUACAGGGCUCUUUUGGGUCUUGUAAUUGGAAUGAGUACAAUUUAAAUCCCUUAACGAGGAACAAUUGGAGGGCAAGUCUGGUGCCAGCAGCCGCGGUAAUUCCAGCUCCAAUAGCGUAUAUUAAAGUUGUUGCAGUUAAAAAGCUCGUAGUUGAACCUUGGGCCUGGCUGGCCGGUCCGCCUCACCGCGUGCACUGGUCCGGCCGGGCCUUUCCCUCUGGGGAGCCUCAUGCCCUUCACUGGGUGUGACGGGGAACCAGGACUUUUACUGUGAAAAAAUUAGAGUGUUCAAAGCAGGCCUAUGCUCGAAUACAUUAGCAUGGAAUAAUAGAAUAGGACGUGCGGUUCUAUUUUGUUGGUUUCUAGGACCGCCGUAAUGAUUAAUAGGGACAGUCGGGGGCAUCAGUAUUCAAUUGUCAGAGGUGAAAUUCUUGGAUUUAUUGAAGACUAACUACUG
RNAcentral lists this ribosomal RNA (862 nucleotides) under Myrmecridium sp. RNAcentral describes it as "SSU rRNA". It matches the Rfam family "Eukaryotic small subunit ribosomal RNA", at positions 74 to 945 of the family's 1831-position model. Lineage: Eukaryota; Fungi; Ascomycota; Sordariomycetes; Myrmecridiales; Myrmecridiaceae. The record is from RNAcentral.